This 492-nucleotide ribosomal RNA is filed under the name uncultured bacterium. RNAcentral describes it as "partial 16S ribosomal RNA". It matches the Rfam family "Bacterial small subunit ribosomal RNA", at positions 29 to 507 of the family's 1533-position model. The record is from RNAcentral.
AGUGAACGCUGGCGGUAGGCCUAACACAUGCAAGUCGAACGGCAGCACAGUAAGAGCUUGCUCUUACGGGUGGCGAGUGGCGGACGGGUGAGGAAUACAUCGGAAUCUACUUUUUCGUGGGGGAUAACGUAGGGAAACUUACGCUAAUACAGCAUACGACCUACGGGUGAAAGCAGGGGAUCUUCGGACCUUGCGCGAUUGAAUGAGCCGAUGUCGGAUUAGCUAGUUGGCGGGGUAAAGGCCCACCAAGGCGACGAUCCGUAGCUGGUCUGAGAGGAUGAUCAGCCACACUGGAACUGAGACACGGUCCAGACUCCUACGAGAGGCAGCAGUGGGGAAUAUUGGACAAUGGGCGCAAGCCUGAUCCAGCCAUACCGCGUGGGUGAAGAAGGCCUUCGGGUUGUAAAGCCCUUUUGUUGGGAAAGAAAAGCAGCAGGUUAAUACCCCGCUGUUCUGACGGUACCCAAAGAAUAAGCACCGGCUAACUUCGUG